AUGUUUUGGACCACUGAUUUAACCCAUUGUACCACCAGGGUCUCCUCCUCCAUGAUGUCUUUUAUCUUUGUUUACUACAAUUUAAGGUGCAGAUCAAUGAGACUUAGGAAGAGAAGAGACAUUCUGGGGGAACAGAUUGCAAAUGCAAGUUUAAUUCGAAAGGUUAUGUCUUAUGAAGCCUUCCUUUUUUCCUUAAGAGAAAAAAAUAUUGAAGAUGACAUGGAGGCUGUUUUUCUGAAAGGAGAUGGAUGUGUUGUUCUCCUUGUAAAAGAGAAGCUUAAUUCAUCAUUUACUAUAGUUCUUCUUUUACAGCUAUAGGAGACUGUAGAUGUGAGUAUUUAAAGGGAAAUUUUAGAUGUAUGAAAAUGUCAUUUUCGUUUCUUUCUCUAAACCCCACAGUGUUUUCAUCUUAUUGAAGUGUCAGAUUGUCGGUUUCCCUCCUUUUCCUAUACAUGACAUUUUGAUAUGCAUGUCUUCCUACUGUAUAAGAUUUAAAACAUGUUUCCUAAUGUGCAUAUUUUAAUGUAUUUUCCUUAUUGUCUGAAGUGUGUUUGCAUGCAUGCAUUUUUCAAAUUGAUGCAAUUUUGAUCAUGUCCAUUUGUUUACAUAUAAUUAGAAAGGGGGUGAGAGAAUCUGGCAUAAAGAGGGUUUUUUUCCCCAAUGACAGAAAAUGAAAAGAUAUGGACAAAUCAUGAAGGCAAAUCAAUGACCACCAUGAAGGAUACUUUUCACAUCUCCAUCAACUAUGCUUUUGAUGUUUGUGGAACUGUGAGAAGUGUCCUUUUUGAAGAUCUAAGGGCCUGAGCAAGCUCAAACAAUGAGAUGGUUUAGCCUGAAGCUGAGCCCACCUCUGCCACAGGGGUUUCUAGACUCAAGUGUGGUUAGAUUCAGUCUAAGGGUAUACUUGUUAUCAUUCAUGGAACCAAUCCACCUGUAAAAGACUCCAACAUGGGAUUUCCACAUUUGGAAUUGAUUAUGGAGUACUAACCAGAGAAGGAAAAUGAAGGCCAGUGUGAUGUAAUGGUUUGAACAUUGGACUAUGAUGCUGGAGACCAGGAUUUGAAGCCUUACUCAGCCAUUGAAACCAUUGAGUUACAUUGAGCAAAUCACUCUCUCUCAGCUUUAGAGGAAGGCAAAGGCAUACCCUCUCUGAACAAAUCUUGCUGAGAAAACCCAGGUUCACCUUAAGGUCCUCAUAAUUUAGAAAUAAUGUGAAGGCACACAACAACAGGUCAGAGAAGGGGGAAGUUAAAUCCACUCUAAAAUCAGUAGAUGCCAAUGAAACUCUUCAGGCAUAAGGAGUUCAGCAGAGCUUAAACCCAUUUAGCUUCUUGUGGUUGUACCUAGAUUUUCCAGAUUUUAGUUGUACUGUGGGUCCUCAAUAUCUGCUGGGAUUUGGUUCCAAGCCAAAAUCUGUGGAUGCUCAGGUCCCAUUAUAUACAAUGGCAUGUCUUAUUUAAAAUGGUGAACAACUUGAAACCAGCAAUGGAAAGAAAUUGAAGUUUUGUGAAUUGGUAGAAGGGUAUGCAUAAUGCUUGGCAUGCAACAAAAUCAAGAUUUGCUUUUUUGUAGUCUUUUUAUUAUUAUUACUUUCGAGUUGUGAUUGGUUGAAUCUGUGGAUGUAAAGCGAAUGGAUAUGAAGGACUGACUGUAAUUAUUUCAUGGAAGGCAAAGCGAAAAGCUUUCUGUAGAUUUAUGAUAAGGCCAUUUGUUUUCACAUGAAUCAAUAACUGGUGAUGGUGUUGAUUUUGACCAUAUAGGACAUCUGUCUAGAUUCAUAUAGAUUUAAAGAAAUGACAUCUCUCAUUUUAAAAGAAAAUGCAAUUUCAGGAGUUUUUACAAAAACUGCCUAGUUUAGUCUUCAAAUAGAAGAAAAUGCUAAGUGUGUUUACAAGUCUAUAUAAAGCAAGGAGUAAUCAAUACUUCGAUUUAAUGUCAUACAUUUAAUGCCAGUGUACAAUAUUAAACUGUCCUUAACACGGUCUAAACAGCUCUAGCUAUAUUUUUGGGGGAAAAGGUCACUUGCUAUUGGGAAGAGAAAGUGAAGAUUUGUACCAAGAAAGAAAUGUAUUAUCUUCUGCUCUGUACUUCUGGCCCAGCAAGCUGACCUCUGACCAGCCCAUCUGGCCCUAUUAGACUCCCUGUUGGUUCAAGAGCUGUAGGCUUUCUUGCAUUUCUCUGAUCGCACUUUGCCAAUUCUUCCUGCUCAACCAGCAUGAACGCAGCUCUCUGAAAAUUAAACUCUUUAUGCUGUUGCUAGGUGGCAGAGGCACUGCCUAACACAUGCAAAAUCUAGUAAAGUAGAACUUCUUGAACUUUUCCUGCCAGAGUAUAUUGUUGACAGACUGGUACAGCUCCUUGAAUUUUAAUUUCACCCACUCACCAUCACAUAUUCCCACACACAAAACCAGGGAAGUUUCCCAUUACAGCACUUGGAAGUGCUGUUUAUGUUUACUGCUAAUAAUUGGAGACCAGUUUGAAUUUCUGCUUGUAGAGCUGUAACCAUGAAUUAUUCCCACAUUUUCUUUUCACCAUUGGUGUCAUAUGUGAUCUUACAUCUUAAAAAAAUUGAUGCCCUAGAGGGAAAUGCUUGCACAGUAGUCUACAAAUCUCAUUUUGGUGUUCGGGUUUUUGCUUGCAAACAGAAAUUUGCAUAACCCAGUGUAACAGCAGAGGAAUUAUGCACCAAAAGUAGCAGAUCUGAAGUUACUUGUCAAAUUGCAUUGUAACACUUACUUCUUGCCAGGUAGAGAAAAAUGGUAUAGGAUUUAUCUAGUACUUAGCCGGCAGUUAUCCAGCUUCAGGGCAAUUCCACUCCCUUUCCUCCCAAAU
This is a long non-coding RNA of Anolis carolinensis (green anole), 2832 nucleotides long. The record is from Ensembl. Lineage: Eukaryota; Metazoa; Chordata; Lepidosauria; Squamata; Anolidae.